GGACGAACGCUGGCGGCGUGCCUAAUACAUGCAAGUCGAACGAACGGAGCUAGGAACUUGUUCCCGGCAAAGUUAGUGGCGCACGGGUGAGUAACACGUGGAGAACCUACCCUUUUGCGGGGGAUAACCAUUGGAAACGAUGACUAAUACCGCAUAGAAUCGCAGAUCGCAUGAUCAACGAAGGAAAGACGGCUUCGGCUGUCACAAAAGGAUGGCUCCGCGGUGCAUUAGCUAGAUGGUGGGGUAACGGCCUACCAUGGCAAUGAUGCAUAGCCGACCUGAGAGGGUGAUCGGCCACAUUGGGACUGAGACACGGCCCAAACUCCUACGGGAGGCAGCAGUAGGGAAUCUUCCGCAAUGGGCGCAAGCCUGACGGAGCAACGCCGCGUGUGUGAAGAAGGUCUUCGGAUCGUAAAGCACUGUUGUUAGAGAAGAACGACCGCUAGAGUAACUGUUAGYGGAGUGACGGUAUCUAACCAGAAAGCCACGGCUAACUAC
This 498-nucleotide ribosomal RNA is filed under the name Facklamia sp. 'ARUP UnID 323'. RNAcentral's name for it is "bacterial SSU rRNA". It matches the Rfam family "Bacterial small subunit ribosomal RNA", at positions 27 to 504 of the family's 1533-position model. The record is from RNAcentral. Lineage: Bacteria; Bacillati; Bacillota; Bacilli; Lactobacillales; Aerococcaceae.